AACGAACGCUGGCGGCAUGCCUAACACAUGCAAGUCGAACGAGACCUUCGGGUCUAGUGGCGCACGGGUGCGUAACGCGUGGGAACCUGCCCUUAGGUUCGGAAUAACUCAGAGAAAUUUGAGCUAAUACCGGAAUGUCUUCGGACCAAAGAUUUAUCGCCUUUGGAUGGGCCCGCGUAGGAUUAGCUUGUUGGUGGGGUAAUGGCCUACCAAGGCGACGAUCCUUAGCUGGUCUGAGAGGAUGAUCAGCCACACUGGGACUGAGACACGGCCCAGACUCCUACGGGAGGCAGCAGUGGGGAAUAUUGGACAAUGGGCGAAAGCCUGAUCCAGCAAUGCCGCGUGAGUGAUGAAGGCCUUAGGGUUGUAAAGCUCUUUUACCAGGGAUGAUAAUGACAGUACCUGGAGAAUAAGCUCCGGCUAACUCCGUG
RNAcentral lists this ribosomal RNA (431 nucleotides) under uncultured bacterium. Its description in RNAcentral is "partial 16S ribosomal RNA". It matches the Rfam family "Bacterial small subunit ribosomal RNA", at positions 29 to 507 of the family's 1533-position model. The record is from RNAcentral.